AAGAGUGGCGCGCACUCGCCAGCCUGAGCAUGGCGAAAACUCCUCCAG
Molecule: unclassified non-coding RNA, 48 nt
Filed under: synthetic construct
Description: DNA (48-MER) from synthetic construct (PDB 8DEJ, chain N)
Source: RNAcentral